RNAcentral lists this ribosomal RNA (407 nucleotides) under uncultured bacterium. RNAcentral describes it as "partial 16S ribosomal RNA". It matches the Rfam family "Bacterial small subunit ribosomal RNA", at positions 30 to 526 of the family's 1533-position model. The record is from RNAcentral.
AUUGAACGCUGGCGGCAGGCCUAACACAUGCAAGUCGAGCGGAGCGGCGGACGGGUGAGUAAUGCCUAGGAAUCUGCCUGGUCGUGGGGGAUAACGUCAGGAUACGGGCGCUAAUACCGCAUCCUAUCAGAUUAGCCUAGGUCGGAUUAGCUAGUUGGUGGGGUAAAGGCCUACCAAGGCGACGACCCGUAACUGGUCUGAGAGGAUGAUCGGUCACACUGGAACUGCGACACGGUCCAGACUCCUACGGGAGGCAGCAGUGGGGAAUAUUGGACAAUGGGCGAAAGCCUGAUCCAGCCAUGCCGCGUGUGUGAAGAAGGUCUUCGGAUUGUAAAGCACUUUAAGUUGGGAGGCGUUACCAACAGAAUAAGCACCGGCUAACUUCGUGCCAGCAGCCGCGGUAAUAC